Molecule: long non-coding RNA, 598 nt
Organism: Numida meleagris (helmeted guineafowl)
Lineage: Eukaryota; Metazoa; Chordata; Aves; Galliformes; Numididae
Exons: 3
Source: RefSeq, a predicted model, not a curated record
GAGGAGGUUCUUCCGUGCUCCUCCUGUCACGUAGCUGGGCUUGUCGCACGGGGAGCUCUUCGGAAAGUGCUUUUGGAAAGCGGUCCCUCCAUUGCCUUCACUCAUUAACUUGAACUAGAGAAGAGCAUUGAAGACAUUCCAAUUUCAAAGGACUAUGGAGGUCUUGUGAAGAAAGCUGACAGCUGAGAAAUGGCAUAGACUUUCAAGUCACCUCAGCACAGCAUGCCACUGUGGGAUGAAGGAAAGUUGCAAGGAACUCAGCCCUAGAAUGACUCGAUUCUGUAGACCUCAACAAUCCCUCCUCAUUCGUCACAGUGAAAUAUUAAAAUUGCUUGACACAAUAAUAAGGGGGAAAAAAUGGAGAGAGAAAAAUCUUCUUUAUUGUUAUUAUUCUUUUUCAGAAGGGAGGGAGCUACACAAGAGCUCCUGCUUUUGACAGCAAAAAGUUAAUUGUUCUAUCAACUUCCAUAUCUACAGAUUGCUUCAGAGUAACUGUUGAGCAAAUCCCUCCAUGCAGAUAUCACCAGUCUGAAAAAGGGCCAGCAGAACUAACAGAGAAUUUGAAUGGAAGCCAACUGACAUUUUAAACGUCUCUUUC